GAACGCACCUUGCACCCUUUGGCAUUCCGAAGGGUAUGCUCGUUUGAGUGUCAUUGUACUCUCACACUCUCACUCUUUGGAUUGGGAGCGGUGGACUUGGGUGUUGCUGCUUUACCGCGGCUCACCUCAAAUGGAGUAGUGCACCUCUCGGUUGGACAUAGUACGGCGUGAUAAGUGUCUUCGCCGGCGCCUCAUUAGAGGGUGGCCGAUCGGGAGCUCUGUGCUUCAAACCGUCUUCGGACAACAACUGACAACUUGACCUCAAAUCGAGUAGGACUACCCGCUGAACUUA
RNAcentral lists this unclassified non-coding RNA (292 nucleotides) under uncultured Sebacina. RNAcentral's name for it is "sequence contains 5.8S rRNA gene". Lineage: Eukaryota; Fungi; Basidiomycota; Agaricomycetes; Sebacinales; Sebacinaceae. The record is from RNAcentral.